This 490-nucleotide ribosomal RNA is filed under the name uncultured bacterium. Its description in RNAcentral is "partial 16S ribosomal RNA". It matches the Rfam family "Bacterial small subunit ribosomal RNA", at positions 30 to 507 of the family's 1533-position model. The record is from RNAcentral.
AUUGAACGCUGGCGGCAGGCCUAACACAUGCAAGUCGAACGGUAACAGGAAGCAGCUUGCUGCUUUGCUGACGAGUGGCGGACGGGUGAGUAAUGUCUGGGAAACUGCCCGAUGGAGGGGGAUAACUACUGGAAACGGUAGCUAAUACCGCAUAACGUCGCAAGACCAAAGAGGGGGACCUUAGGGCCUCUUGCCAUCGGAUGUGCCCAGAUGGGAUUAGCUAGUAGGUGGGGUAACGGCUCACCUAGGCGACGAACCCUAGCUGGUCUGAGAGGAUGACCAGCCACACUGGAACUGAGACACGGUCCAGACUCCUACGGGAGGCAGCAGUGGGGAAUAUUGCACAAUGGGCGCAAGCCUGAUGCAGCCAUGCCGCGUGUAUGAAGAAGGCCCUCGGGUUGUAAAGUACUUUCAGCGGGGAGGAAGGGAGUAAAGUUAAUACCUUUGCUCAUUGACGUUACCCGCAGAAGAAGCACCGGCUAACUCCGUG